This 67-nucleotide transfer RNA is filed under the name Camponotus ocreatus. RNAcentral describes it as "tRNA-Leu". The record is from RNAcentral. Lineage: Eukaryota; Metazoa; Arthropoda; Insecta; Hymenoptera; Formicidae.
UUAAUAUGGCAGAAAAGUGCAAUAGAUUUAAAUCCUAUUUAUGAAGAUUUUUAAAUCUUUUAUUAAA